This 372-nucleotide long non-coding RNA is filed under the name Gallus gallus (chicken). The record is from RNAcentral. Lineage: Eukaryota; Metazoa; Chordata; Aves; Galliformes; Phasianidae.
GCAAGCGAGUUGCGGCGGCUGGGCCCCCCUGUGGACGGGUCUGAGGCCCAAAGGGGUCUGCGAUCAGGGCUGCCGGACGGGGCCCUGGGGGGUGAGGGGCGUCCAGCCCCACUCAGAGGGGGUUUUGGGGGCGGGGGGAAGCCGUUCUCCAAUCCAGGCAGCUCACAGAGGGACCCAUUCUCAUCCAGCUGUGCCCGGAGCUGCCGCAGCCUUUGGGCCGCCUCGGCCUGCAGCCGCUGUCGACGCCGUCGCUGCUCCGGAGGCAGACCCGGGGCGGAUGCCAAACGCCGCGCAGCUUCCACCACCUGCAGCUGCACCGCCACUUCCCGCCGUGCCGCCCGAGCCGCCUCGGUGAGGGGUCCUCGUGGGGGG